CCUACGGGUGGCAGCAGUGGGGAAUAUUGCACAAUGGGGGGAACCCUGAUGCAGCGACGCCGCGUGAGUGAAGAAGUAUUUCGGUAUGUAAAGCUCUAUCAGCAGGGAAGAAAAUGACGGUACCUGACUAAGAAGCCCCGGCUAACUACGUGCCAGCAGCCGCGGUAAUACGUAGGGGGCAAGCGUUAUCCGGAUUUACUGGGGGUAAAGGGAGCGUAGACGGCAGCACAAGUCUGGAGUGAAAUGCCGGGGCUUAACCCCGGAACUGCUUUGGAAACUGUGCAGCUAGAGUGCAGGAGAGGUAAGUGGAAUUCCUAGUGUAGCGGUGAAAUGCGUAGAUAUUAGGAGGAACACCAGUGGCGAAGGCGGCUUACUGGACUGUAACUGACGUUGAGGCUCGAAAGCGUGGGGAGCAAACAGGAUUAGAUACCCCAGUAGUC
This 440-nucleotide ribosomal RNA is filed under the name uncultured bacterium. RNAcentral's name for it is "partial 16S ribosomal RNA". It matches the Rfam family "Bacterial small subunit ribosomal RNA", at positions 338 to 795 of the family's 1533-position model. The record is from RNAcentral.